UGUUAAGGCUAGGGGGUCAUCCCGACUUACCAACCCUUUGCAAACUCCGAAUACCGUAAAGUACUAUCCGGGAGACACACGGCGGGUGCUAACGUCCGUCGUGAAGAGGGAAACAACCCAGACCGCCAGCUAAGGUCCCAAAGUCAUAGUUAAGUGGGAAACGAUGUGGAAAGGCCCAGACAGCCAGGAGGUUGGCUUAGAAGCAGCCAUCCUUUAAAGAAAGCGUAAUAGCUCACUGGUCGAGUCGGUCUGCGCGGAAGAUGUAACGGGGCUAAACUAUGCACCGAAGCUGCGGAUUCAUACUUUGUAUGAGUGGUAGGGGAGCGUUCUGUAAGCGGUUGAAGGUGUACCGGGAGGUAUGCUGGACGUAUCAGAAGUGCGAAUGCUGACAUGAGUAACGAUAAUGCGGGUGAAAAACCCGCACGCCGGAAGACCAAGGGUUCCUAUCCCAUGUUAAUCAGGGUAGGGUAAGUCGACCCCUAAGGCGAGGCCGAAAGGCGUAGUCGAUGGGAAACGGAUUAAUAUUUCCGUACUUGGUAUAAUUGCGAUGGGGGGACGGAGAAGGCUAAGCAAGCAUGGCGAUGGUUGUCCAUGUGAAAGUGAGUAGGGCGUUUGUUUAGGUAAAUCCGGACGAACAUUAAACCUGAGACACGAGACGAGUCACUACGGUGAUGAAGUUGCUGAUGCCAUACUUCCAGGAAAAGCCUCUAAGCUUCAGAUUAUACCGAAUCGUACCCCAAACCGACACAGGUGGUCAGGUAGAGAAUACUAAGGCGCUUGAGAGAACUCGGGUGAAGGAACUAGGCAAAAUCGUACCGUAACUUCGGGAGAAGGUACGCUCCUAUCUGUGAUGAGACUUGCUCUCUAAGCGGACGGGAGCCGCAGUGACCAGGUGGCUGGGACUGUUUAUUAAAAACACAGCACUGUGCAAAAUCGCAAGAUGACGUAUACGGUGUGACACCUGCCCGGUGCCGGAAGGUUAAUUGAUGGGGUUAUCUUCGGAGAAGCUCUUGAUCGAAGCCCCGGUAAACGGCGGCCGUAACUAUAACGGUCCUAAGGUAGCGAAAUUCCUUGUCGGGUAAGUUCCGACCUGCACGAAUGGUGUAACCAUGGCCACGCUGUCUCCACCCGAGACUCAGUGAAAUUGAAAUCGCAGUGAAGAUGCUGUGUACCCGCGGCUAGACGGAAAGACCCCGUGAACCUUUACUACAGCUUGGCACU
This 1221-nucleotide ribosomal RNA is filed under the name marine metagenome. RNAcentral's name for it is "bacterial LSU rRNA". It matches the Rfam family "Bacterial large subunit ribosomal RNA", at positions 911 to 2118 of the family's 2925-position model. The record is from RNAcentral.